Stegostoma tigrinum is the source of this 459-nucleotide long non-coding RNA. RefSeq lists it as uncharacterized. The transcript is spliced from 4 exons. NCBI's taxonomy places the organism in Eukaryota, Metazoa, Chordata, Chondrichthyes, Orectolobiformes, Stegostomatidae. The record is from RefSeq and is a predicted model, not a curated record.
GUUAUUAAGGAAUGGGGAAGGCUUUGUUUCCUUCCUGUCCCCACAUCUGAACAGAUUGCAACUCCAGACAGCACAGUGCCAAAGGAGCAGUGGUCUAUACAAUCAUCCUUAUCCAAAGACUUCAAGCUACAGCCCAAAAGAAAGUAACACAUGAAAAGAAGCAUCUCUGUCUAAGAUAUGGUGUUUCCCUUCAAAGGAAACUCAGCCUGGAAAUUUCUAACACACCUUUCAAGUACAGUGGUCUAACUUGCUAAGUCAAGAAACAUCCUAAGAUGCCAAAGAAGUUAGAAUAAAAGGUAAUGUUUGAGGAAGCAAUGACUGCACACAUCCAUCAGUCUUGUCUCUUCGUAUUUCUGCUGUUCUUGACAGCGCCAGAGGUCGUUUAGAAACCCUGUUGGAGUUCAUGAGCAAAUCGUAGAAUCGUGUUGUAACGUAUAAUCAAUUCUCUAGUUAUUUUCU